CCCUUAGAUGUUCUGGGCUGCACGCGCGCUACACUGAUGCACUCAACGAGGUUACGACCUUGCCCGAUAGGGUUGGGUAAUCUUUUUAAAAUGCAUCGUGAUGGGGAUAGAUUAUUGCAAUUAUUAAUCUUCAACGAGGAAUUCCUAGUAAGCGCGAGUCAUCAGCUCGUGCUGAUUACGUCCCUGCCCUUUGUACACACCGCCCGUCGCUCCUACCGAUUGAGUGCUCAGGUGAAUAAUUCGGACUGCAGCAAUGUUUGGAUCCCGAACGUUGCAGCGGAAAGUUUAGUGAACCUUAUCACUUAGAGGAAGGAGAAGUCGUAACA
This 326-nucleotide ribosomal RNA is filed under the name uncultured eukaryote. RNAcentral describes it as "partial 18S ribosomal RNA". It matches the Rfam family "Eukaryotic small subunit ribosomal RNA", at positions 1470 to 1796 of the family's 1831-position model. The record is from RNAcentral.